GAUGAACGCUGGCGGCGUGCCUAACACAUGCAAGUCGAACGGCAAGACAGUGAGCUUGUUCUUUUCCCGUUAGCGGCUGGCGGGCGUGUAACGCGUGCAUCCUACUCUUCUUUUUCUGGGAUGAUCACGGAAAACCGGUUCCAAUACUGCAUCAUAUGCUGUACCGCUUGGUGCAAUGGAUAUUCUCGCCUUUCGUGUCUCUAUUAGCCGCUUCCGCGCCGGAUUAGCUAGUUGGUAAGGUAACAGCUUACCAAGGCGACGAUGCGUAGCCGAUCUGAGAGGAUGAUCGGCCACACUGGAACUGAGACACGGUCCAGACUCCUACGGGAGGCAGCAGUAGGGAAUCUUGGGCAAUGGGCGCAAGCCUGACGCAGCGACACCGCGUGAGUGAAGAAGGCCUUCGGGUCGUAAAGCUCUGUUGUUGGGAAAGAACAGAUGUAUGAGAAAACAUAGCGGUAUUGACGGUACCUAAUGAAAAAGCAACGGCUAACUACGUG
RNAcentral lists this ribosomal RNA (497 nucleotides) under uncultured bacterium. RNAcentral describes it as "partial 16S ribosomal RNA". It matches the Rfam family "Bacterial small subunit ribosomal RNA", at positions 28 to 507 of the family's 1533-position model. The record is from RNAcentral.